GAUGAACGCUGGCGGCGUGCCUAAUACAUGCAAGUCGAGCGAACGGACGAGAAGCUUGCUUCUCUGAUGUUAGCGGCGGACGGGUGAGUAACACGUGGAUAACCUACCUAUAAGACUGGGAUAACUUCGGGAAACCGUAGCUAAUACCGGAUAAUAUUUUGAACCGCAUGGUUCAAAAGUGAAAGACGGUCUUGCUGUCACUUAUAGAUGGAUCCGCGCUGCAUUAGCUAGUUGGUAAGGUAACGGCUUACCAAGGCAACGAUGCAUAGCCGACCUGAGAGGGUGAUCGGCCACACUGGAACUGAGACACGGUCCAGACUCCUACGGGAGGCAACAGUAGGGAAUCUUCCGCAAUGAGCGAAAGCCUGACGGAGCAACGCCGCGUGAGUGAUGAAGGUCUUCGGAUCGUAAAACUCUGUUAUUAGUGAAGAACAUAUGUGUAAGUAACUGUGCACAUCUUGACGGUACCUAAUCAGAAAGCCACGGCUAACUACGUG
This 497-nucleotide ribosomal RNA is filed under the name uncultured bacterium. RNAcentral's name for it is "partial 16S ribosomal RNA". It matches the Rfam family "Bacterial small subunit ribosomal RNA", at positions 28 to 507 of the family's 1533-position model. The record is from RNAcentral.